GACAACAGUAGGACAGGAGCCGCGUUAAUACGGGGGGGUGAAGCGUUAAUCUGAAUGACUGGGCGGAAUGCGCGCGUAGGCGGGUGUUUAAGUCGAUCGGGAAAGCCCUGGGCUUAACGUGGGAAGUGCGGUCGAGACUGAAUACCUAGAGGAUGGUAGAGGAUAGUGGAAUUCCCGGUGUAGCAGUGAAAUGCGUAGAUAUCGGGAGGAACACCAGUGGCGAAGGCGACUAUCUGGACCAAUACUGACGCUGAGGAGCGAAAGCGUGGGGAGCAAACAGGAUUAGAUACCCCAGUAGUC
This 300-nucleotide ribosomal RNA is filed under the name uncultured Lactobacillus sp. Its description in RNAcentral is "bacterial SSU rRNA". It matches the Rfam family "Bacterial small subunit ribosomal RNA", at positions 496 to 795 of the family's 1533-position model. The record is from RNAcentral. Lineage: Bacteria; Bacillati; Bacillota; Bacilli; Lactobacillales; Lactobacillaceae.